Long non-coding RNA from Triticum dicoccoides, 797 nucleotides. RefSeq lists it as uncharacterized. NCBI's taxonomy places the organism in Eukaryota, Viridiplantae, Streptophyta, Magnoliopsida, Poales, Poaceae. The record is from RefSeq and is a predicted model, not a curated record. The transcript is spliced from 2 exons.
GAGAAUCUUAUCUUCUCCACACAUCCACCCAGCGCUCUGCCGACCAGCACCAGCAGACCUCUCCUCCCGCGCCUCUGCCACAGGCCCAGCUAGCCACCAGCCAGGAGCUCAUGCACAAGCCAGCCGCACUGCACAACGCUGCCGCCCGUACACCGCCGCCAGCACCAACCACGCCGGAGCAAGGAGCUCCCCUCGACCCCGGGCGCCUGCCUCCCGUCCGGCGACCGGCCGCUGGAGCAUCACACCCGCGCCAUGGACCUCCGACCCCGACGCCCAAGCUCCCGAUGCUGUUCAUCGCCAGAUCCGCGCCGCCCCACCUUCUCCGACCGUGUCGGGAGCUGCCGUCAGGAGCACGCGCUGUUAGAAAUAAGCCAUGCCACUGCAUGCGUCAUGCGCGCGGCCAUAGCUCUGUGUUUAGUCGUGUGUGUACUAGCGGCUGUAGGGAUUAGUUAGACUGGCCGCGUUGAGUGGCGCAGCCGUGGCUGGCUAGCUACAUGCAUGGCGGGUCAUGUGGCCGUUGGAAGAGGCUGGAUCUGGGCGUGCAUGCAGGUAGUGGCUGGUGCGGUGAGCGUGCAGUUGGUGCAUGCGUGAGUUAAUUAGUUAGUGCUGUUAGUGGCCGCGUGUGACGGAUGGUGCGUGUGUUGGUGUGUGUGUGCAGCCGGGUAUAAAAAGCCCCCUGAUAUAUUGAUCGAGGUGCGUCGGUAAGAGCCGUGUGUAGCCAUGUAGCCACUGUAAGGAAGAAAAGGAUUGGGGCGUUCGUGCGCCGGCCGGAAAAUUUUAAGUCUGUGUUCUUCUUC